Molecule: ribosomal RNA, 498 nt
Filed under: uncultured bacterium
Lineage: Bacteria
Description: partial 16S ribosomal RNA
Rfam family: Bacterial small subunit ribosomal RNA
Source: RNAcentral
AUUGAACGCUGGCGGCAUGCCUUACACAUGCGAGUCGAACGGUAACAGGUCCUCGGAUGCUGACGAGUGGCGAACGGGUGAGUAAUACAUCGGAACGUGCCUAGUAGUGGGGGAUAACUACUCGAAAGAGUGGCUAAUACCGCACGAGAUCUACGGAUGAAAGCAGGGGAUCGCAAGACCUUGUGCUACUAGAGCGGCCGAUGGCAGAUUAGGUAGUUGGUGGGAUAAAAGCUUACCAAGCCGACGAUCUGUAGCUGGUCUGAGAGGACGAUCAGCCACACUGGGACUGAGACACGGCCCAGACUCCUACGGGAGGCAGCAGUGGGGAAUUUUGGACAAUGGGCGAAAGCCUGAUCCAGCAAUGCCGCGUGCAGGAUGAAGGCCUUCGGGUUGUAAACUGCUUUUGUACGGAACGAAAAGCCCCGGGUUAAUACCCUGGGGUCAUGACGGUACCGUAAGAAUAAGCACCGGCUAACUACGUGCCAGCAGCCGCCGUAA